Molecule: long non-coding RNA, 309 nt
Filed under: Schistocerca americana (American grasshopper)
Lineage: Eukaryota; Metazoa; Arthropoda; Insecta; Orthoptera; Acrididae
Description: uncharacterized LOC124550926
Source: RNAcentral
AGUCGACGCAGCUCAACACAUCAGCCGUCCAGCCAUGAGGAUCCUAGCAGUGGUGCUGUUGGUGGUGCUGGCGGUGGCCGCCUGCUCGGCCGCCUUCGCCCCCGCCGCCGCCCCCGCCUUGGCCGCCGCCCCCGGGCGCGACAAGCGCGGCGUGCUGCUGGCCGCCCCCCACGUGGUGGCCGCCCCCGCGGUCGUGCCUGCCGCCCGCUUCGUCGCCGCCGCCGUGCACGGGCCCAUCAUCUACGGCUGAUCACCACUGUAGCCCUCCACUUACCGGAAAUAAACGGCAGUCGACUGCUUAGAGCAUAA